Molecule: long non-coding RNA, 401 nt
Organism: Amphibalanus amphitrite
Lineage: Eukaryota; Metazoa; Arthropoda; Thecostraca; Balanomorpha; Balanidae
Exons: 3
Source: RefSeq, a predicted model, not a curated record
GAGACGGAGGCGGAGACUGGACUCAGGCCUGGGACGCCGCCCAGCUGGAGCUGCGAGUCCGCGGAGUCCUGCUCGACAGAGUCCAGUGGACGCAGCUGGCGGAGGAGACCGGCAGCUGGCUCACCAGGCUGCGGACCAGUAAACAAGAGGAUUCCAGUAGCACAUGUCGUCAUGUUGCGCUAUGCCAAAUGCAGAGCAGCCUCAGCCAAAAUUUCGGACUCAUUGGAAGACUCGUUGCAAAGCUCGUAAGGUGGUAUACAUCACCAGAUACAUCUGGCGUUGGGAAAGCGACUAAGCACGAGGACUCAGACUGUUUUACCGAUAAGUGGGAGUGUAAAGUCAAGUAGAGAUGUGCCACGCUUAGACGUUGGAGACAGUGCUGAAGAUAUUUCGCGUGCUAA